GUGCUUGCUUUCACAGCACAGAUUCUAAAAUUGGGACAAAAAGAGAGAUUAGCAUGGUCCCUAUGCAAGGAUGACACAGUAAUUCAUGAAGUGUUCCAUAUUUUU
Small nuclear RNA from Pteronotus mesoamericanus, 105 nucleotides. NCBI's taxonomy places the organism in Eukaryota, Metazoa, Chordata, Mammalia, Chiroptera, Mormoopidae. The record is from RefSeq and is a predicted model, not a curated record.